UACGUAGGGCGCAAGCGUUGUCCGGAAUUAUUGGGCGUAAAGAGCUCGUAGGCGGCUUGUCGCGUCGGUUGUGAAAGCCCGGGGCUUAACCCCGGGUCUGCAGUCGAUACGGGCAGGCUAGAGUUCGGUAGGGGAGACUGGAAUUCCUGGUGUAGCGGUGAAAUGCGCAGAUAUCAGGAGGAACACCGAUGGCGAAGGCAGGUCUCUGGGCCGAUACUGACGCUGAGGAGCGAAAGCGUGGGUAGCAAACAGG
RNAcentral lists this ribosomal RNA (253 nucleotides) under uncultured bacterium. RNAcentral describes it as "partial 16S ribosomal RNA". It matches the Rfam family "Bacterial small subunit ribosomal RNA", at positions 524 to 776 of the family's 1533-position model. The record is from RNAcentral.